AUGAAGGGUCGUGUAGCUGCUGUGAUUAAUGAUCAUAGAGGAAAGUCCGGGCUCCACACAAACGUAGUGCCGGAUAACGUCCGGCGAGGGGCGAGUCAUUAGGCGCGAGUCUUUGGCGCGAAUCUUAGGGAAAGUGCAACAGAAAAUAUACCGCUGGGAAUUUUUUUCAGUAAGGGUGAAAAGGGGCGGUAAGAGCGCACCGCAUUUGUGGUAACACAGGUGGCAUUGUAAACCCCACUAGGAGCAAGGCCGAAUAGAGGUCCGUUUUCGUAAGAAAGAGCGUGUUUGUCGCUUUGAGAUCCGGGUUGGCUGCUUGAGCGUAUUGGUAACAAUAGGCCUAGAUGAAUAGCUACAGAGGGAUGAGAAUCCUAGACAGAACCCGGCUUAUAGACCCUUCAUGAGG
RNAcentral lists this RNase P RNA (403 nucleotides) under Holosporales bacterium. RNAcentral's name for it is "RNase P RNA component class A". It matches the Rfam family "Bacterial RNase P class A". Rfam says of the family: Ribonuclease P (RNase P) is a ubiquitous endoribonuclease, found in archaea, bacteria and eukarya as well as chloroplasts and mitochondria. Its best characterised activity is the generation of mature 5'-ends of tRNAs by cleaving the 5'-leader elements of precursor-tRNAs. Lineage: Bacteria; Pseudomonadati; Pseudomonadota; Alphaproteobacteria; Holosporales. The record is from RNAcentral.